AUUGAACGCUGGCGGCAGGCCUAACACAUGCAAGUCGAGCGAGCGGCGGACGGGUGAGUAAUGUCUGGGAAACUGCCUGAUGGAGGGGGAUAACUACUGGAAACGGUAGCUAAUACCGCAUACCAUCAGAUGUGCCCAGAUGGGAUUAGCUAGUAGGUGGGGUAACGGCUCACCUAGGCGACGAUCCCUAGCUGGUCUGAGAGGAUGACCAGGCUCGGUGGAAUUGAGGAAAGGUUCAGACGCCGACGGGAUGAAGCAGGGGGGAUUAUUGCAUAAGGGGGGCAAGCCUGAUGGAGCGAUGCCGCGUGUGGGAAGAAGGACGUCGGUUUGUAAAGCAUUUUCAGCGGGGAGGAGUUACCCUCAGAAGAAGCACCUGCUAACUCCGUGCCAGCAGCCGCGGUAAUUC
This 406-nucleotide ribosomal RNA is filed under the name uncultured bacterium. Its description in RNAcentral is "partial 16S ribosomal RNA". It matches the Rfam family "Bacterial small subunit ribosomal RNA", at positions 29 to 526 of the family's 1533-position model. The record is from RNAcentral.